CCCCCGUUGAGAUUUCAUGGCCCGGUCGCGUGCGCGGCGCUGUGCCAGGGAUCCGUCGUUUCGACGGCGGCAAGUCGGGACUGCCGCAACCCCCCGUUGCCUUGCCCAGGUGUGUUAACUCGUCGCUCGGAGCGUUCUGUGUCUAGGAUGGGUGCACUCGCAAGAUUUGCGGGGCAGGGGCCCCGUCCGAUGACACGGCUCUCCCAUGCGUCGACUCCCACCUUUGCGAGGUGAUGGGGCGGGGACACACCAGAGCGUUCCUCGUCGCACCCAUUGGGUGCUCGGGGUUCGGGAUGUGUCAACACCCAACACACGGGUGCAUCGCGCACCUUAGAAAUCCAAAGAAUGAAGCGCGAUCCAGCGCCUUGCGCGCUCGGGUCGCCGAAAGACAAAAACAUAACAAAAUCACGACUCUCGGCAACGGAUAUCUCGGCUCUCGCCACGAUGAAGAAUGUAGCGAAAUGCGAUACUUAGUGUGAAUUGCAGAAUCCCGUGAAUCAUCAAGUCUUUGAACGCAAGUUGCGCCCGAGGCCUCGGCCAAGGGCACGUCUGCUUGGGCGUCGCACUACAAAAUUGCCCUCCCCAGCGAGGAGCGGAGAUGGCCGUCCGUGUCCCCAAGUGGCGCGGUCGGCUGAAAUGAGCACGAGGUCCGUCGAUCCGUCGCGACGAGCGGUGGCUCCCAAAAGGCCGGCGUUGGUUUGCGCUGAUCGAACGAUUCCUCGCGAGGAACUUUAUUCUGGGUCCAGCGGCCCGCCGCAGUGCGGGCAUGCUGCAUCUCUACCGCGUCCCCAAGUCAGGC
This 799-nucleotide ribosomal RNA is filed under the name Callitropsis funebris. RNAcentral describes it as "eukaryotic LSU rRNA". The stretch from base 410 to 563 matches the Rfam family "5.8S ribosomal RNA". The record is from RNAcentral. Lineage: Eukaryota; Viridiplantae; Streptophyta; Pinopsida; Cupressales; Cupressaceae.